AGUUAUAGGCAAACAUAUAAAAAAUAAGCAUGCAUGAAAAAAGUCCUCAUAGAUGUUGUUAAAUGGAAAAAGCAAGUUAUAAAAUAAUACAUAUCGUGUGAUUCCCAAACUUAUAAAACAAAUAAGUAAUAUAUCUACAUACAGAUAUACAGAGAUGCAUUUGCAUGUAUCUAGGUGUGUAAAAAGUGAUUGGAAGUAAUGCUGAGAUUUUCAUUUCAUUUAUUACUGACUUUCUUGCAUUUACUGUUUUCCUGGAUACAGGUACUUCUCAUGUGUGGGCAGAUGGGCGUAGGUUCUUAAAAAUAAAGAGCAUGAUGCUUCUCAGAUGAGGGUGGUAACUGAGACCUUUUGAUGAACUUAAAGUGCUGGAUGUCAUGUUAUUUUCCAGGAGGAGUUAAUGAUGCAAAAUUGGAGGCCUGAAAUAAUUGAACCCUCUUGUUUUCCUCAAAAUAAAAAAAUGUGUAUGCAGUGUAUUCAUUUAUUUCUAGUUGUUACACUGUCGGCACUAUAUAUUUGAGGCUUGGAUAAAAUUUACAUAAUCAGAAAAAAUUAUUGAAAAGUAAAGGAAAUUUCCAAGUGAUGACUACGAACAAUUUGUUAACCUAUGGAAAAUGUACCUGAUUUUAAGUCAAACAAAUCACAUUCACCGCAUUAAGAGGUACUCUCAUGAGAUGAUGGUUAAGGAAAUAAAAAUGGAGAGAGGCCAAGGAUGAAACUGAACAUGUGGCACACAUUGCCACUGUGUGUCUCUGGCUGGUCUUACACCCAUCACAAAGGUGCCUGUCUUGGGGUGUGGCAAAUUGUUACAGAGAAGAUACUAAGUGCUGAACAGAUUCUGCUUUAUAUAGCAAAGACAUUUUAUUACAGUCUUGGAGCCAACAUAGUCUGAUUAUUUGAAGACUUAAAAACACACCCACAAUUUAAAGCAGGCCAGAGGGAUGCAUGUGGUGAGAUACCAAGCCCAAGGCAAUUUAUUGGCAGAAUUAAAUUCUGGCUAAUUUCCUUAGUGCCAGAGUGUCCAGCGCUCUCAUUAACUGCACUAGUUACCAAUGGAAAAUUUGUCUUUCAGUGCAAGGCACUUUGCUGAAGUGGAGCCAGCCUCCUGAGAAGUGCCUGGAAGAUUGGUUUGGAGUAUUCUGAAGUGGUUUGGGGCUGCCCAGAGUCUCAUGGGCAUGGUACAGUGACUCCUGUCAGGGACUCCUUUGGCCUCAGAGCUCUGCCCCACUAAGCUCUCUACAUGGCCGAGGCACCAGACCAGAAUGCGCCCUUUCGACAGGCAGAGAGAGCCAAAGGGGAAAAGAGCUGAGUCAAGGCUGCCAAGUUCCUGCUUCCAGCCCUACCAGCCGGUCACUCGCGCCUUGCAAUGAGGAAACCAGGAGUCCUAUCUAGAGCCUUUCCAUAGUUGUGGGAAAGAAGAUGGGUAAAGUUAUUGUUAAUCUACAGAGGAAGGAAUGAUGCCAAGUUUUUCAAGGCUUCCAGAGUCACAGGAGGAGUCACUUGGUAAAUCCAGGAGCAGAAACCAGGUACCAGUUGGAAGACCACAAUGUGUUUGUUCAGACCUGUGGGCCUCCUGGAUCCUUAGCAAAAGACCACACAGACAAGUGUUGAAUGCAGCUUUUAAAAGUAUGGAAGGGACAGUAAGACAGUUCUAAGCGUGGACUAGAAUAUAAUUUAAGGUUUCUGUGACACGGUGUUAGGACUCUUUCCUAGAAUUAUGAGAGCUGAACUAACAGCUCCCAGAUAACUGAAGCAUAAUAAUUAAUCUAGAAAAGCGGCCUCUUCUUUUCUGUGGUUGAACCUAAGUGUAGUUUUGACUUUUAACUAAAACUAGGUCAAUUAAGACCAUUGGAACUCUGUGACUGAGGAUGUGUGGUGUUUAUUGGGGAUUUAAAAUAAGAUUUUUGUUCUUUUAUAAAUUUUAAUAUAAAUAGAUUGUUUUCCCUAUAGUAUUUAGUGUUAAUUAA
This is a long non-coding RNA of Pan troglodytes (chimpanzee), 1964 nucleotides long. RefSeq lists it as uncharacterized. The transcript has 3 exons. Lineage: Eukaryota; Metazoa; Chordata; Mammalia; Primates; Hominidae. The record is from RefSeq and is a predicted model, not a curated record.